RNAcentral lists this ribosomal RNA (468 nucleotides) under uncultured bacterium. RNAcentral describes it as "partial 16S ribosomal RNA". It matches the Rfam family "Bacterial small subunit ribosomal RNA", at positions 28 to 507 of the family's 1533-position model. The record is from RNAcentral.
GACGAACGCUGGCGGCGUGCUUAACACAUGCAAGUCGAACGGAAAGGCCCUGCUUUUGUGGGGUGCUCGAGUGGCGAACGGGUGAGUAACACGUGAGUAACCUGCCCUUGACUUUGGGGUAACUUCAGGAAACUGGGGCUAAUACCGGAUAGGAGCUCCUGCUGCAUGGUGGGGGUUGGAAAGUUUCGGCGGUUGGGGAUGGACUCGCGGCUUAUCAGCUUGUUGGUGGGGUAGUGGCUUACCAAGGCUUUGACGGGUAGCCGGCCUGAGAGGGUGACCGGCCACAUUGGGACUGAGAUACGGCCCAGACUCCUACGGGGGGCAGCAGUGGGGAAUAUUGCACAAUGGGCGGAAGCCUGAUGCAGCAACGCCGCGUGCGGGAUGACGGCCUUCGGGUUGUAAACCGCUUUCGCCUGUGACGAAGCGUGAGUGACGGUAAUGGGUAAAGAAGCACCGGCUAACUACGUG